Molecule: microRNA precursor, 66 nt
Filed under: Pongo abelii (Sumatran orangutan)
Lineage: Eukaryota; Metazoa; Chordata; Mammalia; Primates; Hominidae
Description: miRNA
Source: RNAcentral
UGGGAGCUAAGCUAUAUACAUAACCAAGCUUAUGUAUGCAUCUGCAUACCCAUAGCUUAGCUCCCA